GAAGGGUGGGGGGAGGGGAGGCCAUGAUCACCGGGUGGAGGGUGGGAGUAGGUGGACAUGGGUUAGAAAGGUCGUGGGCCAGGCGGCCUCCUAGGCAGCUUCCUGAUGUUGGCCUUUUCCUAGAUGGAAGCCAGCCGUCGGGAGCACACACACCACAUUACAAGGAUCCCAGCCAGGCCCAGGAGGGGAAGCAAGGACACCCUAGAGCCAGAGAGAACUGGCAGGUCCUCGUGAGUCCUCAUACAACCUAUCCUUAGGCGGUAACAGGCUGCAGCUGUUGAAGUCUAAUUUCACUCUAUUGAUUGGGUUUUUCAUGGGCCGAUCUGCUGAAUUCAGCCUAGGAGCUGAGGCCAACAUCUGAGUCUCUUCAGCAUACAAGUUUGAAAGAAGUCCUAGCAACUUCAAGCUCAGAACUACGGGUGGCAGCAGCUCCUUCUUGACGUCGAAGCCUCCCAUUCCAGAGAGAGUCAAGGCCCGGAUCAAAAAAAGCCCACAAGCACCGAUGACUGAGCUGCUGACUACCCCAGCAUCUCCAACUCAACCUCCUCUUUCUGCCUCUACCCAAAUUUUAAAACUUUUAAACAUGGGUUUAAAAAUGGUAAUGAGUAAAGUUGCAUCCAAGUGUAUCAAAUAAAAUUAAAUAUCCAUAAAUGCUGUAAUAAUUCCUGCUUUGAUGCUGAACUAAAGAAUUUUCUGCUGGGCGCGGUGGCUCAUGCCUGUAAUCCCAGCACUUUGGGAGGCCAAGGCAGGUGGAUCACGAGGUCAGGAGUUCAAGACCUGCCUGGCCAACGUGGUGAAACCCCAUCUCUACUAAAAAUACAAAAAUUAGCUGGGCAUGGUGGCAGGCAUCUGUAGUCCCAGCUACUCAGGAGGCUGAGGCAGAAGAAUCACUUGAACCCGGGAGACAGAGGUUGUAGUGAGCCAAGAUGGCACCACUGCACUCCAUCCUGGGCAACAAGCGAGAUUCCAUCUCAAAAGAAAAAAAAAAAGAAUUUUCUGUUUAUAUUACAUAUAGUCUCACUUCAUAUUUCAUUUCUCUCACCUCUGAUACCUGGAGUCCUUGGCUAGUACUGAAAUUGAGUAAAGUCAUUCUCAUGAGUUUUAGUAAAGUCAAAACUCAAAACUCAUGAAGUUGGCAAAACUCAAAGAAUGCUUUGGUCUAGUUUGACAUUGGCCAGUAUGUUUUUCAUAUCCAGUCAUUCCUUUUUUCCUGGCUGACAUCCUCACUUCCUGCCUGUGGAGGAAAAGUUAAAUAUUAAAUUUGAACUCAAUUGAAUGUGGACACAAACAAUGGUCACCAAGUCCGGGAACAGGUUGUGUGAGUCCCUUGAGGCAUUUAUCCUGCCCUGUUUCGGAGAAAUCUCUAUUUCAAACUAUUCCUAUGUGUUACUUACUGAAAAACAACAGACAAUCACAAAAACAAGUUGACCUU
RNAcentral lists this long non-coding RNA (1432 nucleotides) under Pan troglodytes (chimpanzee). RNAcentral's name for it is "long non-coding RNA NONPTRT017858". The record is from RNAcentral. Lineage: Eukaryota; Metazoa; Chordata; Mammalia; Primates; Hominidae.